This 222-nucleotide unclassified non-coding RNA is filed under the name Hevea brasiliensis (rubber tree). Lineage: Eukaryota; Viridiplantae; Streptophyta; Magnoliopsida; Malpighiales; Euphorbiaceae. The record is from RNAcentral.
AAACCACAUGUUUCAAAAAUAAACAAAUCAGCCCAAGAACUAAACACUAAAAAGGAUUUGGAAGAUCAUUCAACUUGAAUAUAUAGUCUAGUAUAACGUUCAAAUAUAACGAUAGCAGCAAAUAAAAGAAAGGCAGAAGCAAAAUCAAAGCAAAUUAAAAGAGAAUUCUCUAGUUUUCAAGAAAAGUUUUCUUGUUUCAGGAAGAACACCGUAACGGCAGUG